RNAcentral lists this transfer RNA (69 nucleotides) under Pseudohongiella acticola. It matches the Rfam family "tRNA". From Rfam's summary of the family: Transfer RNA (tRNA) molecules are approximately 80 nucleotides in length. Their secondary structure includes four short double-helical elements and three loops (D, anti-codon, and T loops). Further hydrogen bonds mediate the characteristic L-shaped molecular structure. tRNAs have two regions of fundamental functional importance: the anti-codon, which is responsible for specific mRNA codon recognition, and the 3' end, to which the tRNAs corresponding amino acid is attached (by aminoacyl-tRNA synthetases). tRNAs cope with the degeneracy of the genetic code in two manners: having more than one tRNA (with a specific anti-codon) for a particular amino acid; and 'wobble' base-pairing, i.e. permitting non-standard base-pairing at the 3rd anti-codon position. RNAcentral also lists the same sequence under 1 other name. The record is from RNAcentral. Lineage: Bacteria; Pseudomonadati; Pseudomonadota; Gammaproteobacteria; Pseudomonadales; Pseudohongiellaceae.
GGGCGUUAGCUCAGCGGUAGAGCAGUUGGCUUUUAACCAAUUGGUCGAUGGUUCGAAUCCAUCACGCCC